UACGUAGGGAGCAAGCGUUGUCCGGAAUCAUUGGGCGUAAAGCGCGCGUAGGUGGCCUCGUAAGUCCGCUGUAAAAGUCAAAGGCUCAACCUUUGAAAGCCGGUGGAUACUGCGGGGCUAGAGUACGGAAGAGGCGAGUGGAAUUCCUGGUGUAGCGGUGGAAUGCGCGGAUAUCAGGAGGAACACCAAUAGCGAAGGCAGCUCGCUGGGACGUUACUGACACUGAGGCGCGAAAGCGUGGGGGAGCGAACAGG
Molecule: ribosomal RNA, 254 nt
Filed under: uncultured bacterium
Lineage: Bacteria
Description: partial 16S ribosomal RNA
Rfam family: Bacterial small subunit ribosomal RNA
Source: RNAcentral